RNAcentral lists this ribosomal RNA (468 nucleotides) under uncultured bacterium. RNAcentral's name for it is "partial 16S ribosomal RNA". It matches the Rfam family "Bacterial small subunit ribosomal RNA", at positions 28 to 507 of the family's 1533-position model. The record is from RNAcentral.
GACGAACGCUGGCGGCGUGCUUAACACAUGCAAGUCGAACGGAAAGGCCCUGCUUUUGUGGGGUGCUCGAGUGGCGAACGGGUGAGUAACACGUGAGUAACCUGCCCUUGACUUUGGGAUAACUUCAGGAAACUGGGGCUAAUACCGGAUAGGAGCUCCUGCUGCAUGGUGGGGGUUGGAAAGUUUCGGCGGUUGGGGCUGGACUCGCGGCUUAUCCGCUUGUUGGUGGGGUAGUGGCUUACCAAGGCUUUGACGGGUAGCCGGCCUGAGAGGGUGACCGGCCACAUUGGGACUGAGAGACGGCCCAGACUCCUACGGGAGGCAGCAGUGGGGAAUAUUGCACAAUGGGCGGAAGCCUGAUGCAGCAACGCCGCGUGCGGGAUGACGGCCUUCGGGUUGUAAACCGCUUUCGCCUGUGACGAAGCGUGAGUGACGGUAAUGGGUAAAGAAGCACCGGCUAACUACGUG